GUGCACCAAGAGGUCAAACCGAGCACCACGAAGGAAAUAAACGUGGGUGUUUGUGCACAGCAAGGCCAGAGGGAGGAAUAUGAAGAAUGAGACUGCUAAGUCCUAACCACUCGACCACCAGGAAACUAGAACUGAGAAGAAUGAACGCAGAAAUCUCAAUGGUUCCAGGAAGCGUCAGAUGGACUGAGGAUGCUUUGUGUGAUUUAGACAAGGUACCAUGUAGAAAUAGAUACUGAAAAUUCCUAAUAGAAAAAAGUGAAAAAUUAUUGAGGCCAGAGUUUUUGAAACAAAACCCAGAUCAGAGUUGGCCAGAGUCCUGGCUUUCUGCUCCCCUGUAACUUCAAGGGAUCUAGUUGGCACUCAUGGGGUCUCCAUGAGCCUGGGGAACUUUGUGGGAUUGUACGUUAUCACAUGCAUACAGAAUGUCUAAAGUUUACGGAAAGUUCCUUGUUCCAAUUACUAUUGUCAUACAAUAUACCAUCCCAAAUCAGUGGUAUAAAUAACAACCAUUUUAUUAAGCUCACAAAUUCUGGGAGUCAGAAAUUGAGGCAAGGUACAGUGAUGAUGGUUUGUCUCUGACCCAUGAUGUGUAAGCUCUCAGCUGGGAGGACUCAGAUGGUUGUGGGUGACUUGAAUGACUAGGGGCAGAAACCAUUUGGAGGCUUCUUUUCUCACAUGUCUGGAGUAUGAAGUGGAACAACUCAAUGGCUGUUGACCUGAGGAUCUAUGUGUGGCCUCUCCAUGUGGCUGGGUGAGGGGCCAAGGAGUCUCUGGAAGAUGUAAAUGCUCCAAGAGAGUCCAGGCAAGCUGCAGAGCCCUUGUGAACUAGCCUUUGAAAUCUCACAGCAUCACCUUCACUUUUCCCUUGUGGUCAAAGAAUAUAGAAGCCUUCCUGGAUUCAAGGAGCAGAGUCAUAAAGCAGCCACCUCUUGAUGGGAGGAAUGGUAAAAAAAAAUUUGAGGCCAAGAAGCAAGCAAGCAAGCAAACAGAUUCCUAGUCCCUAAACUUGGAACCUUGACUUUACAUUUUCUAGCUGUGUGACCUUGAGCAAAAGACUCAACUUCUCUGUUGUCUACUUUUCUCAUCUACCAAAUAGUAGGUACCCAUUUCAUGGGGUUUGGAUGACAACUAAGUGAGAUAAACUUACACUGAAGCAUCUAGCACAUUGCCUGGAACAUAACUGUUCAAUACCACUUGAGCCUAAAUCUGAAGAAUGUUUGGCAGAAUACCAAGUCUAAAGUUAGGCUUAUUUUCUCAGGUUCAGAAGCAAGGAUUAAGUUGAAAAAGGAAUUGUGCUUUUGACAAAUGUAAAGACCUACUACAUGCCAGGCACGUCCUCCUAGUCAGGUAGAAAUAGAUACUGACAGUUCUAAGCCAGAAGCAGUUCUAAUUCAAGAGUUAGACUUGCAUCCAAAACUACCAGAGAGGGCAUUUCAGAUGAUUAUGGACACAAAUAUUACCUAAGCAUCUUAUCAUUUCUUUGACCAUAAAUUCUUUCCAGAACUGAGCUUUAGAAAAUCUCUCUGUACAUGCUCAAGCUCUUCUCUGUGCUGGUUUUACAGAUAUUUUAUUUGUCUAUUCUUACAUCUAUUAAGCUUCUUGUAUCCUUAAAUAUUGAAUUGAUUCAGCUGGAUUUCCUGGAAAAAGAGUGAAUGCUCUGUCCUUGGAUGAAGUCCUCAUUAGGAGAUGUUCUUUUCUGAGAAAAUCAUUGUGGUUCCUGGGUACUGUGCCAUUUAGUUGACUUGGUGCAACACUUUUAAUUAAUCAGUGAGAGGGAUGACAUGAGCCUUCUGAGGAGGCUUUCAGGAGUGUCUGAUAAGACAGACAGCAGUUCUUGAUGAAAUAUCACACACAUCUUGCCCUGUGAGGAGCAGUGAUCAUGGGUACACAGUGAAAAUUACUGACAGCAAGAGCUACAGUGGAUAACAGAGAAUUCUCACAAUCCAACAAGUGAUCUUGCUGAUGAAAAUAAAGGUGGAUUAAGAGCUGCAAACUGACCUUUUGUUCAUGGAGCAGUUGGGUUCUUCUCAUUUUAUGGGUUCAUCAUGCCAUGUUGUGGAUAAUAUCUUUCUAGCAAAGUUCAUUUAAAUAUGUGGAAAAGGAAAGCUUAGUAAUAGAAUAUGAAAGUAUUGUGAUCAUUAGAUUUGAAAGUAGUUCUUAAAAUGUAAUUUAUUGUAACCAAAUGUAGCUGAUUCUUUUUGUGUCCCAAAGCAUAUUCCCUCUACCUUUAUGCGACUUCAGCCAUAGCUGUGGUGGCCAUUUCCUGUGCAUGCUGAGGGAUUCUCCCCAGUGCCUGCUGCAUCUUGUUCAGCUCUCACAUAGAACAGCCUGGGAUAUGGCAAGGAGUGGGGUAUAGGAGUCAAAACCUCUGGAUGCAACUCUGAAACAAAGGAGGACAGGAAUGGGUCCAUAAUGGCUUCCUCUCCUAUGGAGGAAUCAUUCUGAGGUACAUUUUACAUCAUUUCCAGUGUGCUCCCAGCAGGAUUAGUCUCCAGCUGCCCACAGGAUUAAUCAUUUCAAGAACAUACCCUUCCUUAACUUUCUUCCUUGUCUGCCUUACUCUCCCUGCUCCUUCACUCCUGAUCCCUGAGCUCACCUCCCCAAUGAGAUACCUGGAACCUCCAAAUUAAAAUAUCAAAUAUCCUGGCUUAGUUGGACCUGAAAUUCAGAUAUGCCCAGAGGAGGAAGGGGGUCUCUCAUUCCAACUUUAAUAUAUAUUGCCUUGCACUGAUUGUCAUAGGAGCCAAGGCCAUAUAUGAACAAGGGACUCAAGUAGUGUCCUCAAAGUGGAAUGGACUGGGUUAGGGAAUAGGGCUUCUGAGAGAGACAGAGAGACUUCACCUAAAAGGAAGAAGGAGCCUGCUGUGAUUGAUUCAUUUAUUCAACGGAUAUUUAUUGAGAACCUUCUAUGUUUCAAGUACAGUUCUAUAUGCUGGAAAUGCAUCAGUGAAUUAAAGCAACAGAAAUCCUUGCACUCAUAAAGUUCGUAUUCUAGUGGAUGAAGACUGGCAAUUAAAAUAAUAAAAAGUAAAUUUUAAUAAA
Macaca mulatta (Rhesus monkey) is the source of this 3042-nucleotide non-coding RNA. The record is from RefSeq and is a predicted model, not a curated record. NCBI's taxonomy places the organism in Eukaryota, Metazoa, Chordata, Mammalia, Primates, Cercopithecidae.